RNAcentral lists this ribosomal RNA (253 nucleotides) under uncultured bacterium. RNAcentral describes it as "partial 16S ribosomal RNA". It matches the Rfam family "Bacterial small subunit ribosomal RNA", at positions 524 to 776 of the family's 1533-position model. The record is from RNAcentral.
UACGGAGGGUGCAAGCGUUAUCCGGAUUCACUGGGUUUAAAGGGUGCGUAGGCGGGUCUUUAAGUCAGUGGUGAAAGCCCGGAGCUCAACUCCGGAACUGCCAUUGAAACUGUAAGACUUGAGGAUGAGAGAGGUGAGUGGAAUUCCCAGUGUAGAGGUGAAAUUCGUAGAUAUUGGGAAGAACACCGGUGGCGAAGGCGGCUCACUGGCUCAUAUCUGACGCUCAGGCGCGACAGCGUGGGGAUCAAACAGG